Molecule: ribosomal RNA, 373 nt
Filed under: uncultured organism
Description: partial 16S ribosomal RNA
Rfam family: Bacterial small subunit ribosomal RNA
Source: RNAcentral
GUAGGUGGCAAGCGUUGUCCGGAAUUAUUGGGCGUAAAGCGCGCGCAGGCGGUCCUUUAAGUCUGAUGUGAAAGCCCACGGCUCAACCGUGGAGGGUCAUUGGAAACUGGGGGACUUGAGUACAGAAGAGGAAAGCGGAAUUCCGAGUGUAGCGGUGAAAUGCGUAGAGAUUUGGAGGAACACCAGUGGCGAAGGCGGCUUUCUGGUCUGUAACUGACGCUGAGGCGCGAAAGCGUGGGGAGCAAACAGGAUUAGAUACCCUGGUAGUCCACGCCGUAAACGAUGAGUGCUAAGUGUUAGGGGGUUUCCGCCCCCCUUAGUGCUGCAGCUAACGCAUUAAGCACUCCGCCUGGGGAGUACGGCCGCAAGGCUG